Molecule: long non-coding RNA, 3513 nt
Filed under: Panax ginseng (ginseng)
Lineage: Eukaryota; Viridiplantae; Streptophyta; Magnoliopsida; Apiales; Araliaceae
Description: long non-coding RNA (PGIN_LNC016085)
Source: RNAcentral
AAUGCAGAAAAGAAAGAUGGCCAACUUCCACCGGAUGCAAAUGGUCCUGCACAUAGUUUAACUAGAGAUAAUAACAACAUUGUGAUUGAACAAGGUAACAUAUUAUUCUUUGUUUUGCUAACGCGCGUGCUGCAAGAAAAUGAAAGAUGAUACCUGUGAUAAUUUGAUAUACAAUAGUUUUUUCAGAUAGCUGAUCAAUUUCAUUUCAGCAUUAAGGUCACGUAAUAUGGACAGGAAGUUAUAAUAACUAACUUAUUUAUUUAAGCAGGAGAUUGUUUUAGUCUGUUUCGGAUUUUUGGAAAUAGAACAGAGGAAAAGAAUACGCAGGUAUCUAAACAAGAAUCCUCUGAUUCUGCACACGACAAUGGUGAGAGGGAGAUUGAGCAAGGUAAUGUAAUGUAAUGUUUGUCCUCAACUCUUUGUUUCCGGCUUGUAUAUUUCAGCUAGCUUGACAAAAGAUCUUUUCACUCCACUCAGAAUCUUAAAGCUGCAAUUUUACCCAACUUUUCAAAUUUGUAGUGCAACAAAAAAGAAAAAAUCUAAUCUUAUUUUGGGGUUUAAUUUAAUUGAUAUGUUUGUACAGGAAAUGAUGAUAUGCAGAAUGUAAGUAUAGGUACACGUGGUAAUAGAGUUGGUGGUGGUGUGGCUAGUAAGCACCCUGAUGGGGGGAAAGGUUUGGGAUUUUCUCCACCUCAAGGAUCCAUACUGCCUGAAGACUGGAAAAUUGAUGUCAAUAAGGUCCCAGGUAACGCGAGGAUACUGAAAAAUCAAUUCAUCUAACCUACCGAUAAUAUUUUAGUGUUUGGUAAGGUUAUUUUAGAUGUUAAAUUUCUGAUAUUAAGGUUCAAGUAUGGAUUUUGGCAUAAAGAGCAGACCAGGAGCCACCCUCCUCACCAAACCAGAAAGUGCUAAAAUGCCUGAAGGUAUGUAUGUACAUGCCUACACUUGGUUGAGGGGGGACUCGCUAAGGUUUAGUAUAUACUAGUGUGUGUGUGUGUGUGUGUGUCUAGGGUAUCGACAUUGGUAUUAUGAUGCAGGAAAUAGUAGUACAAGUGCGGGAUCCUCGUAUGGCACAGACAAUGUUUCUGGCGUUGAAAGUCCAAGAGACAUAAAAGAAACUCAAGGUUCUAAAUCAGUGGAGAUUCUGAAAAGUAUCAUCUAUGGAGGUUUAAUGGAGUCCAUAACAAGCCUUAGUGUUGUGUCUUCUGCAGCUGCAUCUGAUGCUACUACAUGUAAGUUUCUGGGACUUGAUUGGUUUAUAUAUCUUUUCUCUUCAACUCUUGGUACAAAAAGAGUUCUUUGGAUAUAGUCCUUCUGGCUUAGAGUUUUCCUCGAAUUCUCUUGCAGUGAAUAUUAUAGUUAUUGGAUUGGCAAACCUAAUUGGUGGACUUUUCAUCAUUGUUCAUGAUGUAAGUAGUUUCAUCACUAGUCUGUAAUAAUUGGCAUGCGCGCACGAUCUUCAUUUCCCCCCACCCUAAUCACAUUUUGGUAUUUUGCAGCUUAGAGACUUGAAAAAUGAUCAAUGUGAAGGGGCCGUUAACAAAUACCAAGAACAAUUGGGCAGGAGGGAGAAUUUCAUACUUCAUGCAAUAUUUGCAGUGCUAUCAUUCCUAGUAUUUGGCCUAAUUCCACCUGCAACUUACGGCUUCGCGUUUGAUAAGACAAACGAUAAGGACAUGACGAUUGUGGCAGUUGCAGCAGCCUCUUUGUUAUGCAUAAUUUUACUAGCAAUUGGCAAGGCUUACAUCCAGAAGCCACCAAAGUUUUAGAUUUACCUUAAAACCAUAGUGUACUAUGUUAGUACUGCAGUUAUUGUCUCAGGUGUUUCUUACGCAGUUGGAGAUUUAAUCAAGAAACUCUUGGAGAAUUUCGGUUGGUUCAAUUCACCUUCAGCCUUCACUCUGUCUGCUCCUGACAUCAAAUCGACAAAUCCAGUUAAUUGGGCAUCCUACUGAAGAUAUUUUCUUAGAUCUAAAUAUUGAAACAAAGUUUGUUCAUGUGAGUUGUUUGGGGUCAAAUUUUCAUUCGUAAGCUGUACUUUUUUGGAGUUUGUGGGUGUUUUUUUUUUGCUUGUAUCAUAUUGAGAUGCCAAGUAUGUUCCAGCUCUGUGUAAUGAGAUAAAGUGAUUGGUGUGGCAAUACAUUUGGAAUUGAAAUAAUGUUAUAGAACUGGCAAUCAGCAGGGGAUUUUGUUUUGUUUCCCGUUGCACGUAUUUUCCUCUUACUUAUAAUAAAGUAAGCUCAGAAUUUCAUUCAUAACUUCUAUAUUCUGGAAAAUAUUGGUUUGAGUUUAGACAAAGUUAACCGGGGGUGUGGAUUCAAAUCCCAAGCAUAUAGAAAAUUGGAUUGGAAACAUGUUUGAAACUUGGAAAACACGAAAAAUAAAAAUAAAGGGCAAACAAUAAAUUAAUAAUAAUGCAAAAAAAAAAUCUUAAUGAAUAUAUACUUGUACUUCUAAAAUUUUGACAUCAAGAACAACGUAAAAUGUAGUGUGAUGGAUGGUUAAGAAAACUCCAGCAAAUUUCUUUUUUUGCUAAAUUAAAGUUCUAACAAUACCCUCUUAUCUACUGCUAAUAAGACCAUGAUCAAGCACUAAUAAUUAUGCAACAAUUCAUUAGAUAUAAAUACACAAAAGUCAAUAACAAAAUUUACACAAAACAAGUGUUAUGCAAGGAAAACUCCAUUAGAGGCAAAUUACCAAUCACUUAAAAUUAUAGCUAAUAUAUAAUUUACUAAAUAUUCACAUACCAACUAAUUAAAUCAUAUUCCAGUUGUCAAUCUCUCUUUCUUCCAAAUUUAAAGCAUCAGACUGAUAGUUGGUUAUAUUUUAAAGUUUGAAGUAAUUCCUUCGUUGUUCCACUAAAUUUGUUAACGAUGCCUUUUAUCUCUAACCAAUUGGAUAGCAUAAAGAAUCUCCCAUGUGAAACGUAAAAGGAAAAACUGACUAAAUGCUACAAAAAAAUCUUAUCCAUCAGACACCCUAAACACCCAAAUACAUGACCAAGAACAGAGUUUAAGGAAUAUAAGAAAAUUAAUAACAUGAUAAAUUCACUUGGAAGUUGGAACAACCACUUCAAUUAAUUAGUAUUUUCCAUUAAUGUCAAGUAUAGUAGUUAGGUAAUUAAAAGAUGUCCUGAUUAGACACUCAAGCUGCAUGCACUAUAAAAUGGGGGAGUUCUCAAAAUCUAGUCUUCAUCCAAAGUUGAUUGAAUCAAUUAAGUUGUAAUACUACUUAAAAAUAUAACUACAAUGGAGAAAGUUACCAAGUGUUCGCUUGUGUUGGCCAUUUUUCUGAUGGCAAAUCUUGGUACUGGUGAAGGAGGAAGAGACGUGCUGAAGAAAGAAGAUGGAAUCGUGUACAGACCUCAAGGCCUGCUUCCAUUUUGGCGGUGGCUGAAAGCCUGGUGGUUGCUACCAUGGUGGCUUAAACCAUUUCCGCCACUUGGAUAUCUCAACAAAGCUCCUGCAGCUAAAGUCGGGUGGCUCAACUACGAUGAAGAUUUCAUGGCUAAAG